CAGCAGCCACGGGAACACAGAGGGUGCGAGCGUUAAUCGGAUUUACUGGGCGUAAAGCGUGCGUAGGCGGCUUCUUAAGUCGGAUGUGAAAUCCCUGAGCUUAACUUAGGAAUUGCAUUCGAUACUGGGAAGCUAGAGUAUGGGAGAGGAUGGUAGAAUUCCAGGUGUAGCGGUGAAAUGCGUAGAGAUCUGGAGGAAUACCGAUGGCGAAGGCAGCCAUCUGGCCUAAUACUGACGCUGAGGUACGAAAGCAUGGGGAGCAAACAGGAUUAGAUACCCGGGUAGUCCCUGUCUCUUAUAA
RNAcentral lists this ribosomal RNA (301 nucleotides) under uncultured bacterium. RNAcentral describes it as "partial 16S ribosomal RNA". It matches the Rfam family "Bacterial small subunit ribosomal RNA", at positions 509 to 809 of the family's 1533-position model. The record is from RNAcentral.